CCUUUUAUUCCCAUAAAAGUUCCCUAAACAUCCUACCCCACCCCCAGAGACCACGCUCAGACUCCUCCUCUCACCCUCACUGUUCUCCGUCGCCCACUGCCCACCGGAUAUUGCCCACGAUGGCGGCACCACUCCAAAUUACUCCAAAUUGUCACCCUACAAUCCCCAGCCCUUCCUCAGUCCAAAUACACUAUUCAUUUCCCUCAAAUCCCACCCAAAUUCCACGAUUAAUAGAUCUAGGAAAAUAUUAAAACCUAAUAUGUCCCCUUUUCGAUUUUUCGGCCUUUUUCAAUUCGUUUUGACUUGAAAUUUAUGCUGAUCAAUUGCUCUUGACGAGAGAAAUCGAUUGACGUUAGUUUUAGGUCACUUCGAGGUCGCCGAAGGUCGGUCAAAUCCCGUUGACCGGCCAGAAUUCACUCUCCUCUAUUGCUUGCCGGAGUCUUUUCACCAUUGGAUAUCUUCUCACUCGCCGAAUUUGUUUAUGUUGACUGAUUCGAGCCAUCCGGAGGUUGUUUCACACGGAAAGGUCUUUUUAGAGUAUUGAUUUAGCUUCAUUGAGGUAAGUAUCUUGCCUAACUUUAUGUGAAAAAAAUUACCCCGUAGGAUGAGCUUAAUUGCAUUAUUUGAAUUACGUGGACGAUGUGUACAUGAGAUGACGAGUGUGUACACAGGAUUAUAUAUGAAAAUUGACUGGUUUAGACUCUUAGGCUUCUUUCAUGCAUUUAUUUUAAGUUAUUAGUGCACGUUAUAUUUUUUAAUUGUCAAGUUUACUCUCACAUGCUUUAUUUGAAGUUAUUAGCACAUGUUAUAUCUUUUACUUAUCAAGUUUACGCUUAUAUGCUCUAUUUGAAGUUGUUACCUCUUUUAUUGUAAUGUGACCUUCUUUAUUGUUAAGUUAUUCUUAAUUGAAGUUGUUACAUGAUAUCCCUCGUUGACAAUUUAUUCUCAUGCAUUUAGACGUAGUUGCUAUUUCAUGACCAUCUCUUUCAUUGUUAGCUUGUGCCAUACACUAAUAUUUGGAGUUGCAAUUGCAUGAAAAUACUUUCAUUAUUGAGUUUAUUCUUAAGCAAUUAAUUGAAGUGAAGUCAUUGAAAGACAUUAACCUAUUUUAGUUGAAGUUGUUGUUUAAUGGACUAUUUUUCAUUGUCGAGUAAUUUUUCCCAUUUCAUUUUGUUGUUAUUGCGAUUCUUAUGCACAUUGUGGUUGAGUCGUGGGCUAUGUGUUGUGUUGAUAUUGAUAUUGUUGUUUUGGAAAGGUUGUGGCCUAUGGGCACUUGUGGUACGAGUUGAUAUAUUGUGUUGUUGUGAUGCUGACACAUGUGAAUUUAUUGUGUGGAUUAAUUAUUUCUAUGCGGAGCAUAAGGGUGGCAUCUCACUGUUGUUGAUUGUGCGGAGUGAUACGGGUGGCUAAUGUGUUAUUGUCUGGGCGGAGUGAUACGGGUGGCUAUUGUGUUAUUGUCUAAGCGGAGUGAUACAUGUGACUAUUGAUAUACAUUGUCUGGAGUAAUACAGAUUGUUAUUAUGAUUUGUCAAUGGGGAGAAAUAAGGGUGGCUAUGUCAGGGAUGAUAUGUGACUGUCUGGGGGCACGAUGUUGAUGAUAUUCAUGUGAUGGUGUAAUUUUUCUUGUGUGUUUCAUGCACCUUACGUGACUUGUUGUGUUGUUUCCAAUAUAUGUUGACUUGGAUUGUAAUAGUACACUGGCACAUACAUACACCGUAGCAUGACAUUUAUAUCGGUUAAGAAGUAUGAAACUUGAGAUUUAUUGAUCUCGCACACGUAUUCUUGUGUAUCUAUUUCCAUUGUGAUAUUGGACAUGUGACCACACCAGGCGGAUUUUGAUAGUGAGCCUGUGACUAUGACGGGCGGGUUGAGGAAUUGGCAGGUGAGUUAUCCGUACGGUUGUGAUUUAUAAUAUGGGCACGAAGUGCCACAAACAUAUGAUUGGUGAUUUGGGACUCGUGAUUUGUGAUUUUGAAAGGAGGUAUCUCAUAGUAAUUUUUGUUGUGAAACUUGUAUUAGAGCGGUUUGAAUAUUUGGUUGUCAUUUAUUUUUUUUAUUUGGUUUCACCGGUACUUAACGUUGUUCUGAUUACAUUACUACUUUUCUACAUGUGUAUCCCUUGUUGCCGUUAUGGUUUCUUGCUUCCGUUAUUAGCUUUAUACUGAUAUUCUGCACAGAUUAUUAUGACUAGUAGGUGUCUUGAUUUGUACUUCGUCACUACUCUACCGAGGUUAGUCUUGAUACUUAUUGGGUACCGACCGUGGUGUACUCAUACUACACUUCUGUACAUUUUUGUGCAGAUCUAGGUAUUGGAGAUAACGGAUUCAAGCAAAGUUAGCUUCUUGAUCGCGAGGAUUCAAGGUAGAGCUGUUUGGUUGCCGCAGUCCCAUGGAGUCCUUUGCUUAUAUUACUACUGUCAAAUCUCUAUCCGAACAGUAUUGUAUUUUGAAUUAUGUUAUGUAUUCAGUAGAGUUUGUGACUCUGUAUUACCUCGUCUUGAGAGGAUUGUUGUGAUUAUCGCCGCGUAGACUUGCAUCACCUUUAUUUCGGUAUUUUAUAUUAAAUUCUGCUUUAUAAUAUCAUGUUUAACUGGCGUAACUGUUGUAAGAGUAAUCGGCUUUCCUGGUCUUAGAGACUAGGUGUAAUCAUGACACCCAAGGCGGGAUUUUGGAUCGUGA
Nicotiana tabacum (common tobacco) is the source of this 2678-nucleotide non-coding RNA. The record is from RefSeq and is a predicted model, not a curated record. NCBI's taxonomy places the organism in Eukaryota, Viridiplantae, Streptophyta, Magnoliopsida, Solanales, Solanaceae.